This 728-nucleotide unclassified non-coding RNA is filed under the name Hevea brasiliensis (rubber tree). The record is from RNAcentral. Lineage: Eukaryota; Viridiplantae; Streptophyta; Magnoliopsida; Malpighiales; Euphorbiaceae.
UCUUGAUAGAAUAAUUCAUAAGGAUUAAUCUGUUAAAAACAAGAUCGAAGUACUGAGGUGUCAUGAGUAGAGUAGUAAAUACAAAUAAACUAACUAGUAUUACAAAAAUUUUAUGAGGAGAAAUAACAUAUUCCAGCAUGCCAAUCCUACAAAAGGUAUCUGGUAAAAUGACAAUUUUCUGCCUCCUAUGAUACCCUAAAUGUACACUUGAUAAAUCAGGAAUGAAAUGAUGCCCAUCAAGUAGCAUCAGAGAGUUGCACCUCUGCAAUUAUAAGCAUGGGAAGCCAUUGUUAUCGACAUUCGGUCAGAGGAAAAUCCCUCCUAAGCAGCAACUGCAAUCUUUUCUUGUUGCUUAACACCUGACAUUUUAGGCUUUGGAUCAACUUUCAUUUCAGGUUUCUCAAUUCCUUGAAUAUCAGUUAUUCUCAACUUAGUCAGUUCCUGGCGAUGUCCUUUGGUUCGGCGGUAAUUCUUCCUUCUCUUCUUCUUGAAGAUAAUUACUUUUGCAUCUAAGGCAUGCUCCUCAACAACUGCAUGAACAGCUGCAUCUGGCACUGUAGGCCUGCCAACAAUUGUUUGAGAGCUUGAUCCUAACAAGAGAACCUUGUUCAAAAUCAACUUGUCAUUUACUUCACAGAAUUUCAAUUUCUCGGUGAAAAUGCAAUCCCCAUUGCUCACCUUAAAUUGGUGAGAACCAAUCUGAACAACGGCGAAAACAGGCUCGUAUG